RNAcentral lists this ribosomal RNA (497 nucleotides) under uncultured bacterium. Its description in RNAcentral is "partial 16S ribosomal RNA". It matches the Rfam family "Bacterial small subunit ribosomal RNA", at positions 28 to 507 of the family's 1533-position model. The record is from RNAcentral.
GAUGAACGCUGGCGGCGUGCCUAAUACAUGCAAGUCGAGCGAACGGACGAGAAGCUUGCUUCUCUGAUGUUAGCGGCGGACGGGUGAGUAACACGUGGAUAACCUACCUAUAAGACUGGGAUAACUUCGGGAAACCGGAGCUAAUACCGGAUAAUAUUUUGAACCGCAUGGUUCAAAAGUGAAAGACGGUCUUGCUGUCACUUAUAGAUGGAUCCGCGCUGCAUUAGCUAGUUGGUAAGGUAACGGCUUACCAAGGCAACGAUGCAUAGCCGACCUGAGAGGGUGAUAGGCCACCCUGGAACUGAGACACGGUCAAGACUCCUACGGGAGGCAGCAGUAGGGAAUCUUCCGCAAUGGGCGAAAGCCUGACGGAGCAACGCCGCGUGAGUGAUGAAGGUCUUCGGAUCGUAAAACUCUGUUAUUAGGGAAGAACAUAUGUGUAAGUAACUGUGCACAUCUUGACGGUACCUAAUCAGAAAGCCACGGCUAACUACGUG